ACUGACCAUUACGUCUGUCUUUCCAGUGGACAAAGGUUUAUUAGGAGAAGGAGACGAGGGAACCAGGAGAUGAGCAACGGUAAAUUCAACUACAAUG
RNAcentral lists this long non-coding RNA (97 nucleotides) under Betta splendens (Siamese fighting fish). Its description in RNAcentral is "lncRNA (ENSBSLG00000005658.1)". The record is from RNAcentral. Lineage: Eukaryota; Metazoa; Chordata; Actinopteri; Anabantiformes; Osphronemidae.